This 488-nucleotide ribosomal RNA is filed under the name uncultured Oscillospiraceae bacterium. RNAcentral describes it as "partial 16S ribosomal RNA". Lineage: Bacteria; Bacillati; Bacillota; Clostridia; Eubacteriales; Oscillospiraceae. The record is from RNAcentral.
ACGUAGUUAGCCGGAGCUUAUUCUACAGGUACUGUCAUUAUCUUCCCUGUCUAAAGCAGUUUACAAUCCGAAAACCUUCUUCCUGCACGCGGCGUCACUGCGUCAGAGUUUCCUCCAUUGCGCAAUAUUCCCGACUGCUGCCUCCCGUAGGAGUCUGGGCCGUAUCUCAGUCCCAAUGUGGCCGUUCAACCUCUCAGUCCGGCUACUGAUCGUCGACUUGGUAGGCCUUUACCCCACCAACUAUCUAAUCAGACGCAAGCCCAUCUAUCAGCGGAUUGCUCCUUUCCCUUUUGUAUCAUGUGAUACUCAAGGCAUAUGCGGUAUUAGCAGUCAUUUCUAACUGUUGUUCCCCUCUGAUAGGCAGGUUGCUUACGUGUUACUCACCAGUCCGCCACUAACCGCUCCAAUAGUAAACUAAUGGUUAAUCGUUCGACUUGCAUGUCUUAUGUGCGCCGCCAGCGUUUAUCCUGAGCCAGGAUCAAACUCUC